This 340-nucleotide long non-coding RNA is filed under the name Gallus gallus (chicken). The record is from RNAcentral. Lineage: Eukaryota; Metazoa; Chordata; Aves; Galliformes; Phasianidae.
GUUGCAGCAAGCUCUCAAGUUCUUCUCCAUUUUGAUUGUGACAUUUGCUUGUGGUUGCAGUUCACCCUCUGUGACAUCACGUGUGAUCAUUUUACACUUCCUCUCAUUCAGGAAACUCGUCACAUGAAUUUGGUAUCGGGUUGGCUCCCUCCAUGGGUUAAAGCUCACAAGCAGAGUUAUAUCAUCUAGACUUCUGGCUUGGAUCUUGGGUUCCCACAGACUGCCUGUCUUUAUACACGGAGUGGUUCUUUUCAUCAGAGUGUCCGUGCAAUCAGGCAUUGUGAGAGACACGGACUUGCAAUUGUAGUCUCCAUUCACACUCAGUUUGGGUAGGUGGUAG